This 404-nucleotide unclassified non-coding RNA is filed under the name soil metagenome. Its description in RNAcentral is "partial contains 5.8S ribosomal RNA, internal transcribed spacer 2, and large subunit ribosomal RNA". The stretch from base 1 to 121 matches the Rfam family "5.8S ribosomal RNA", at positions 35 to 154 of the family's 154-position model. The record is from RNAcentral.
GAUGAAGAACGUAGCGAAAUGCGAUAAGUAAUGUGAAUUGCAGAAUUCAGUGAAUCAUCGAAUCUUUGAACGCACCUUGCGCCCUUUGGCCAUUCCGAAGGGCAUGCCUGUUUGAGUAUCAUGAACACCUCAACUCUCAUGGCUUGCCAUGAUGAGCUUGGACUUUGGGGGUCUUGCUGGCCUGUGGUCAGCUCCUCUCAAAUGAAUUAGCUUUCCAGUGUUUGGUUGGCAUCACAGGUGUGAUAACUAUCUACGCUUGUGGUUUCCACCAGGUAACCUUCAGUAACAUGGGGGUUUGCUGGAGCUCAUAAAUGUCUCUCCUCAGUGGGGACAGCUCUUUGAACAUUUGAUCUCAAAUCAGGUAGGACUACCCGCUGAACUUAAGCAUAUCAAUAAGCGGAGGA